RNAcentral lists this transfer RNA (73 nucleotides) under Lonchorhina aurita (Common sword-nosed bat). RNAcentral describes it as "tRNA-Glu". The record is from RNAcentral. Lineage: Eukaryota; Metazoa; Chordata; Mammalia; Chiroptera; Phyllostomidae.
UAAGGUUCUUAUAGUUGAAGUACAACGGUGAUUUUUCAUGUCACUGGUCAUGGGUAGUAACCAUGUAGGAAUA